This 63-nucleotide transfer RNA is filed under the name human gut metagenome. It matches the Rfam family "tRNA", at positions 6 to 65 of the family's 71-position model. From Rfam's summary of the family: Transfer RNA (tRNA) molecules are approximately 80 nucleotides in length. Their secondary structure includes four short double-helical elements and three loops (D, anti-codon, and T loops). RNAcentral also lists the same sequence under 1 other name. The record is from RNAcentral.
CUUAGCUCAGCAGGAUAGAGCAUCGGACUUCUAAUCCGGCGGUCGAGGGUUCGAAUCCCCCAG